GAUGAACGCUGGCGGCGUGCUUAACACAUGCAAGUCGAACGAAGCACCUCUCCCGAAGAUUGACACAGCUUGCUGUAGAUUGAUUCAUUUGAGGUGACUGAGUGGCGGACGGGUGAGUAACGCGCGGGUAACCUGCCUCAUAGAGGGGGACAACAGUUGGAGACGACUGCUAAUACCGCAUAGUAAGAAGAAUUCGCAUGUUUUCUUCUUGAAAGAUUUAUCGCUAUGAGAUGGACCCGCGUCUGAUUAGCUAGUUGGUAAGGUAACGGCUUACCAAGGCGACGAUCAGUAGCCGGCUUGAGAGAGUGAACGGCCACAUUGGGACUGAGACACGGCCCAAACUCCUACGGGAGGCAGCAGUGGGGAAUAUUGCACAAUGGGGGAAACCCUGAUGCAGCGACGCCGCGUGAGUGAAGAAGUAUUUCGGUAUGGAAAGCUCUAUCAGCAGGGAAGAUAAUGACGGUACCUGACUAAGAAGCCCCGGCUAACUACGUG
RNAcentral lists this ribosomal RNA (495 nucleotides) under uncultured bacterium. RNAcentral's name for it is "partial 16S ribosomal RNA". It matches the Rfam family "Bacterial small subunit ribosomal RNA", at positions 28 to 507 of the family's 1533-position model. The record is from RNAcentral.